GUCCAAAUCCAUUUACCUGCAAUUGUGUUCAUCUAUAUGAAUAGUUAUGUUUCUGCAAGGCAUGAUGUCUGAUGCAAAACAGAAGAUCUGCUGCAUCUAAAAUGAAAGAUCAGGACCUUAGUGUGACUGCAGUAUGCAUUGCCUGAAUUUUCCUUUCCCUCUCCUUGGAUAAAUAAGAGUGCUUCUAGUCUAGGUUACCAUAGUUUCUGGUUUCCUUAGUAACCACCUCGAGAGCAUUCAUGUGUUUGUGUCAGUAGAAAAGGGGGUGGGGGGGCUAUAAAGUAAAAAAAAACCUCUCAAACUUGGCAUGAAAAAAAAAUCCAGUUUUUUUCCUUAAUGAACAAUCAAACCAAACCUGAAACAAAUGAAGUCUCACUGGAGAUGAACUGAAAUAAUUAUGAAUGGGAUCCUCUUCUCAGAAGUGAUUUGAGAAGAAAUUGAAGUUUUCAUAGACAGUGCAUGAAAGGAGCAUUAGCAUGGCCUUAUUCCAUACACAACAGAUUACACAUAUAUCUCUAAUAAGCUAUAGACUGUGCUUGGGACUGCGUAUCCUGUGCCAGUGUAACAUCCCUGGAUGCCUCCUCCUCUUCCUUUCCAAAUAAAAUUGCAGUCUGAAUUCUUAAUAAUGUCUCGAUCUGGUGCUAUAAAAUAAGGAAUUAUGUACUGAUAGUAACACACCUUUCAUGCUGAGUAUCUAAGAGGUACAAGUGCACUCUACCUGAAUGUGCUAUCAGGAAGAAUUUUCCCAUUAAAGCACAGAAAUUGCUCUAUGUGCAUUCCUUGCUUUAUACAUCAUGGAUUUUUGACAAUAUUUGACUAUGGAAUUAUACAUUUAAGCCA
Molecule: long non-coding RNA, 840 nt
Filed under: Phasianus colchicus (ring-necked pheasant)
Lineage: Eukaryota; Metazoa; Chordata; Aves; Galliformes; Phasianidae
Description: lncRNA (ENSPCLG00000001845.1)
Source: RNAcentral